Molecule: long non-coding RNA, 1674 nt
Organism: Salvelinus sp. IW2-2015
Lineage: Eukaryota; Metazoa; Chordata; Actinopteri; Salmoniformes; Salmonidae
Source: RefSeq, a predicted model, not a curated record
AACAUAAGAAAUUGCUCUCUGUUGACCUCAGUGGAUCUCAGUUUUAACCACCUCCGCACCUUCCCAAUGGGUCUGUGCUCUGGACUUUCUCUAUGUCAGCUUGACAUAAGUAAAAACAUUUUAUCGAAGUUACCCCCCAACAUUGGUGGAAUCCACACCUUGCAACGCCUGAAUCUCAGUGAAAACCGAUUCACUGGCGAAUUCCCCAAGCAUCUCUACCGACUUCACAGGCAUAUCCAUUUGGAUCUGAGCUACAAUUAAAUUCAGACCAUUCCAGAAGGAAUCUCCAGCUUGAAAAGAGUACAAGUGCUCGUACUUCAGGGGAAUAGGCUUACUGAGUUCCCUCUUGAGUUGCACCAUGUUAGGGCAGUACAAGUGCUUGACCUGUCUGAUAAUCAGAUAGGACGAGUUCCAUUAGAAAUACGAGAACUGAAAGACCUCAACCUUUCCAAUAAUCAGUCCUUCCUAUUUCCUGUGAAAGUGUGUGAUCUGAGAUUACUUGAAAAGUUGAAAAUCUGCCACAGAAGAGGCAUCAAGCUAACCACACUGCCAAAGACCUUGUCGAAACUAAGAUGUUUGAGAGAACUGGACUUCUGAGACAACGUAGUGCAGCAGAUUCCUGAGAGCAUCGGAGAGCUGGAUCACCUUACUAAGCUGAUAGCUAUCAAAAACGUUAUUAUAGUAAUUUAGAAGCCUAUUUAGUGUACAUUCGAAGGACCUGUUAUUAUGUGAAUCAUGCAUGUCUCCUCACUGAUUUUAAAACAACUCCACAAUGCUACUUCCUGUAGGGAAUCUUCUCCAGUCUUUACCUCCAGAUAUGGGCCAGCUCCAGUGUCUGAGGCAGUUGGAGCUGGAGGGGAAUCCUCUCACCAGACCUCCUAAGCAGAUCUGUGACGGACACCAAAUAUUCCCCAUUGGGACAGUACCUCAGCUCUGAAGUCACCUGGAAAAGUGGGGAUAAUACACAAGCAUUCCACAGUACAUUUCAUAUUCAAAUUGUAUUGUUAAGUACUGUAUGCUUGGCAAGUGAGGUAAUGUUGCAACUUUGUUAUUUUGUUAUAGAGCACAUCUUACAAAAGGCUUUCCGGUCUCUGACCAAUAACUUGCAGGGCGAUGAUUUUGAUCACUUCUGUGAGAAACUUAAGAUACCCACUGAGGAGUUUAAGACCAAAGAGAAUAAACGGUAUGACUUGAAUCAUCCAAUAAACCUCUAAUUUGGCAUAGAAUUUCAGUGAUAGAUAUUGUUCCUCAAUUUCAGGGUCCAAUUACAAUCAAGGAAUUGAUAGGAAAUGGAAUCACUCAAUUUGAUUACUUUGUGUGUGUAGGGCAUCCCAGAAGCAAAAAACCAUGCAGGCCCCGACUCUGUGGAGAGACUUAUUCCAUAGUGACCAGGAGGCAUCUGUCAUAGCUGACCAACUUGUGAGGACUCUGGUCUUGGCAGGCAUAUUCACACUCUCCUCUCAGGUUCAGGCCAUCAAGAUAUACCAAAGCCAUAAGACUGAAUACACUAUGCCAAAUGUGCUAUAUGAAUAGAGGCGUAGUUCAUGGCAUUGUGAAGUUGGAAAGUGAGAGGAGUAAUUUCUUUUUCAUAAAUGUACAUUUACCAAGUGAAUCCAUACCAAAGUAUUGAUUAUUGUUUGACCAUGAGAAUAAAUGCAAUUGGAUAUGCAUCAA